UUCGGUGUCCAAAUGCAUCGGAAUACACAGAGGCAAAGCCACGACAUGAGGACCACGAAACCAAGGUGAGGCUGUUGCAUUCGGGCGAGUCUGCGCGACAAGACAAAGCCCCGUACAACCAAGGGAUGCAGCAGUAUAUUGGUAAGCGUCAAACCGUAAGCGUA
RNAcentral lists this non-coding RNA (164 nucleotides) under Alicyclobacillus vulcanalis. Lineage: Bacteria; Bacillati; Bacillota; Bacilli; Caryophanales; Alicyclobacillaceae. The record is from RNAcentral.